UGAAUGUCUACUCCAUUUUUCCACAUACCACAAAGGUGGAACUUAAGUCCAUGCAUACAUUUAAUUGUGCACUUUGUUUUUCUCCUGCCUUAUACAAAUAAUUGUUAAAAUAUUUCAAAAUUCAGAAAAAUGUAAAGAAGGAAAUAGUCACCUAAGUAUUUGUUAGGUUAUAAUUGAAAAAGUAGGCUUUGUGAAAUGAUUUCAGGUAAUUAGGUAUCGUGUAGUCAGUGAUGUUUUAAAAUCUUGUCCACUUACACGGUUUUGUACUAAUAACAUCUGCUAAUAUUAUGUAAUAACAGUGUGGAGUGUUAGAAUGAAGGCGAAAUGUUUUAAAGAGGUAAGACUGUUUGCUUCAUUUCCUGUCACGUUUUAAACAUUAAGUAUCAAGGUCCAGUU
RNAcentral lists this long non-coding RNA (396 nucleotides) under Bos taurus (domestic cattle). RNAcentral describes it as "long non-coding RNA NONBTAT025975". Lineage: Eukaryota; Metazoa; Chordata; Mammalia; Artiodactyla; Bovidae. The record is from RNAcentral.